RNAcentral lists this ribosomal RNA (255 nucleotides) under Coelotinae sp. ZZ071. Its description in RNAcentral is "partial 12S ribosomal RNA". The record is from RNAcentral. Lineage: Eukaryota; Metazoa; Arthropoda; Arachnida; Araneae; Agelenidae.
AUCGAUAAUCCGCGUUAANUUUUACUUUAAUUCAAAAUUUAUAUACCACCAUCUCAAGAUUUAAUUCAAAAACAUUUCUCUAAAAAAUAAAUAAAAAGUUAGGUCAAGGUAUAGCCUAAAUUAAAGAAUUAAAUGAAUUACAUUAAACACAAUUUAAAGAUUAUAAAUUUAUAUAUUUAUAUAAAUAAGAAUUUAAAAGCAAUAUUCUAAUAAUAUUAAAAUAUGAUAAAGAUAAUAAAUGUGCACACAUCGCCC